AGAAUUCCGUUCAAUCCGGUGCAUAUGCUUGUCUUAAACUUGCAGUGAUGGGAUAUGUAUGUGUUUUGUUCCGUCUUUAAGAAUUACGACAAAAGCGGUGCUCCUUUGCUAUUGUGUGAUUUUUACUGUGCUUUAAUGGUCUUAUAUAUGUCAUAGAUAGAUACCAAAUAUCAUUUUUGUCUAUUUAGCCAUGUGCUUUUUUGUAUUUACGUGUUCUUGUUUAUACAAAUUUGUCACUUGAAGCGAGAGGAUAAGAGCAUGUAAACUACAGAAUAUCUGUCAGUAAACAAUGAAAUAACAGCAUGUACACAAACAUCAGCAUAUAUACAAACAAUGGACUGCCAGGUUGUAUGCAAUGGACUAUCACAAUGUGGACAUUGACACAUCAACGUGCAAACAAAUAUCAGUAUGUAAACAAUGAAAUCUCGAAUAUAUAGAUAUUGAAAUGUAAAUGGAAUAUCAGCAUUGAAAACAAUGGAGACAAUAGAAUAUCAGCGUGUUUACAAUGGAGCAUCAUGUAAACAAUGGAAUAUCAGUAUGUAGGCAAUGGAACAUCCGCAUGUAAAGAUUGGAAUAUUAGAAUGUAGACAUUGGAACAUCCGCAUGUAAAGAUUGGAAUAUCAGAAUGUAGACAUUGGAACAUCUGCAUGUAACCAAUGGAAUAUCAGCAUUUUAACUAAGCAAUUUAAUAUCAGUACUAGUAAAUAGAC
RNAcentral lists this long non-coding RNA (710 nucleotides) under Mytilus galloprovincialis (Mediterranean mussel). The record is from RNAcentral. Lineage: Eukaryota; Metazoa; Mollusca; Bivalvia; Mytilida; Mytilidae.